Molecule: ribosomal RNA, 551 nt
Filed under: Lactifluus pseudohygrophoroides
Lineage: Eukaryota; Fungi; Basidiomycota; Agaricomycetes; Russulales; Russulaceae
Description: partial large subunit ribosomal RNA
Source: RNAcentral
AACUGCGAGUGAAGYGGGAAAAGCUCAAAUUUAAAAUCUGGCGGUCUUUGGCCGUUCCGAGUUGUAAUUUAGAGAAGCGUCUUCCGCGCCGGACCGUGCACAAGUCUCCUGGAAUGGAGCGUCAUAGAGGGUGAGAAUCCCGUCUUUGGCACGGACCCCCUGGUGCUUCUGUGAUGCGCUCUCAAAGAGUCGAGUUGUUUGGGAAUGCAGCUCAAAAUGGGUGGUGAACUCCAUCUAAAGCUAAAUAUUGGCGAGAGACCGAUAGCGAACAAGUACCGUGAGGGAAAGAUGAAAAGCACUUUGGAAAGAGAGUGAAACAGUACGUGAAAUUGUUGAAAGGGAAACGCUUGAAGUCAGUCGCGUCGAUCGAGACUCAGCCUCGCCUCGGCUUGGUGUACUUCUCGACCGACGGGCCAGCAUCAAUYUUGCCUCUCGGAUAAUGGCAAGGGAAAGGUGGCACCCUUACGGGUGUGUUAUAGUCUCCUGUCGCAUGCGAGGGGUGGGAUUGAGGAACUCAGCACGCGCCUCUACGGGUGCCGGGGCUUCGGCCC